GCCAACAUGGUUUGGUGGUUUGAACCUUAGACUAUUACUCUGGAGAACAGGGUUUGAAUCCAUGUUCAGCCA
Molecule: non-coding RNA, 72 nt
Organism: Phrynosoma platyrhinos (Desert horned lizard)
Lineage: Eukaryota; Metazoa; Chordata; Lepidosauria; Squamata; Phrynosomatidae
Source: the annotation of a GenBank genome assembly